GACGAACGCUGGCGGCGUGCUUAACACAUGCAAGUCGAACGGAAAGGCCCUGCUUUUGUGGGUUUCUCGAGUGGCGAACGGGUGAGUAACACGUGAGUAUCCUGCCCUUGACUUUGGGAUAACUUCUGGAAACUGGGGCUAAUACCGGAUAGGAGCUCCUGCUGCACGGUGGGGGUUGGAAAGUUUCGGCGGUUGGGGAUGGACUCGCGGCUUAUGCGCUUGUUUGUGGGGUAGGGGCUUACCAAGGCUUUGACGGGUAGCCGGCCUGAGAGGGUGAACGGCCACAUUGGGACUGAGGUACGGCGCAGACGCCUACCGGAGGCAGCAGUGGAGAACAUGACGCAGUGGGCGGAAGCCUGAUGCAGCAACGCCGCGUGCGGGAUGACGGCCUACGGGUUAUGAACCGAUUUCGCAUGUGACGAAGCGUGAGUGACGGUAAUGGGUAAAGAAGCACCGGCUAACUACGUG
Molecule: ribosomal RNA, 468 nt
Filed under: uncultured bacterium
Lineage: Bacteria
Description: partial 16S ribosomal RNA
Rfam family: Bacterial small subunit ribosomal RNA
Source: RNAcentral